This 456-nucleotide ribosomal RNA is filed under the name Microbacterium sp. iMCIII7. RNAcentral's name for it is "bacterial SSU rRNA". It matches the Rfam family "Bacterial small subunit ribosomal RNA", at positions 8 to 475 of the family's 1533-position model. Lineage: Bacteria; Bacillati; Actinomycetota; Actinomycetes; Micrococcales; Microbacteriaceae. The record is from RNAcentral.
AGAGUUUGAUCCUGGCUCAGGAUGAACGCUGGCGGCGUGCUUAACACAUGCAAGUCGAACGGUGAAAGCGGAGCUUGCUCCGCUGGAUCAGUGGCGAACGGGUGAGUAACACGUGAGCAAUCUGCCCCUGACUCUGGGAUAAGCGCUGGAAACGGCGUCUAAUACCGGAUACGAGCUGCGAAGGCAUCUUCAGCAGCUGGAAAGAACUUCGGUCAGGGAUGAGCUCGCGGCCUAUCAGCUAGUUGGUGAGGUAACGGCUCACCAAGGCGUCGACGGGUAGCCGGCCUGAGAGGGUGACCGGCCACACUGGGACUGAGACACGGCCCAGACUCCUACGGGAGGCAGCAGUGGGGAAUAUUGCACAAUGGGCGAAAGCCUGAUGCAGCAACGCCGCGUGAGGGACGACGGCCUUCGGGUUGUAAACCUCUUUUAGCAGGGAAGAAGCGAAAGUGACGG